UACGGAAGGCAGCAGUGGGGAAUAUUGCACAAUGGGCGCAAGCCUGAUGCAGCCAUGCCGCGUGUAUGAAAAAGGCCUUCGGGUUGUAAAGUACUUUCAGUCGUGAGGAAGGUGUUAAGGUUAAUAACCUUAGCAAUUGACGUUAGCGACAGAAGAAGCACCGGCUAACUCCGUGCCAGCAGCCGCGGUAAUACGGAGGGUGCGAGCGUUAAUCGGAAUUACUGGGCGUAAAGGGCACGCAGGCGGUUAAUUAAGUUGGAUGUGAAAUCCCCGGGCUUAACCUGGGAAUGGCAUUCAAGACUGGUUAGCUAGAGUCUUGUAGAGGGGGUAGAAUUCCAUGCGUAGCGGUGAAAUGCGUAGAGAUGUGGAGGAAUACCGGUGGCGAAGGCGGCCCCUGGACAAAGACUGACGCUCAUGUGCGAAAGCGUGGGGAGCAAAC
Molecule: ribosomal RNA, 439 nt
Filed under: uncultured bacterium
Lineage: Bacteria
Description: bacterial SSU rRNA
Rfam family: Bacterial small subunit ribosomal RNA
Source: RNAcentral